CUUCCGCCGGCGACCGGCGCACGGGUGAGUAACACGUAUGCAACCUGCCCCUGUCAGGGGGACAGCCCGCCGAAAGGCGGGCUAAACCCGCGUACAUGCCACCGGGGCAUCCCGGAGGCAGGAAAGGCUUCGGCCGGACAGGGAUGGGCAUGCGGCGCAUUAGGCAGUAGGCGGGGUAACGGCCCACCUAACCGACGAUGCGUAGGGGUUCUGAGAGGAAGGUCCCCCACACUGGUACUGAGACACGGACCAGACUCCUACGGAAGGCAGCAG
Molecule: ribosomal RNA, 273 nt
Filed under: uncultured bacterium
Lineage: Bacteria
Description: partial 16S ribosomal RNA
Rfam family: Bacterial small subunit ribosomal RNA
Source: RNAcentral